GAUGAACGCUGGCGGCGUGCCUAAUACAUGCAAGUCGAGCGAACAGACGAGGAGCUUGCUCUUCUGACGUUAGCGGCGGACGGGUGAGUAACACGUGGAUAACCUACCUAUAAGACUGGGAUAACUUCGGGAAACCGGAGCUAAUACCGGAUAAUAUAUUUAACCGCAUGGUUCAAUAGUGAAAGACGGUUUUGCUGUCACUUAUAGAUGGAUCCGUGCCGCAUUAGCUAGUUGGUAAGGUAACGGCUUACCAAGGCGACGAUGCGUAGCCGACCUGAGAGGGUGAGCGGCCACACUGGAACUGAGACACGGUCCAGACUCCUACGGGAGGCAACAGUAGGGAAUCUUCCGCAAUGGGCGAAAGCCUGACGGAGCAACGCCGCGUGAGUGAUGAAGGUCUUCGGAUCGUAAAACUCUGUUAUUAGGGAAGAACAAAUGUGUAAGUAACUAUGCACGUCUUGACGGUACCUAAUCAGAAAGCCACGGCUAACUACGUG
RNAcentral lists this ribosomal RNA (497 nucleotides) under uncultured bacterium. RNAcentral describes it as "partial 16S ribosomal RNA". It matches the Rfam family "Bacterial small subunit ribosomal RNA", at positions 28 to 507 of the family's 1533-position model. The record is from RNAcentral.